UUAGAGUUUGAUCCUGGCUCAGGAUGAACGCUAGCGGCAGGCUUAACACAUGCAAGUCGAGGGGCAGCAUGUCCAGCAAUGGAUGAUGGCGACCGGCGGAAGGGUGCGUAACGCGUGAGCAACAUGCCCUAUACAGGGAGAUACACCAGGGAAACUUGGUCUAAUAUCCCAUAGCAUUCAUUGAAGGCAUCUUUAAUGAAUUAAAGCUUCGGUGGUAUAGGAUUGGCUCGCGUGACAUUAGCCAGAUGGUGAGGUAACGGCUCACCAUAGCAAUGAUGUCUAGGGGUUUUGAGAGGAAGGCCCCCCACACUGGGACUGAGACACGGCCCAGACUCCUACGGGAGGCAGCAGUGAGGAAUAUUGGACAAUGGAUGGAAAUCUGAUCCAGCCAUGCCGCGUGCAGGAAGACGGCCUUAUGGGUUGUAAACUGCUUUUAUACGGGAGCAAUAAGGGUUACGAGUAAUCCGAUGAGAGUACUGUAUGAAUAAGGAUCGGCUAACUCCGUGCCAGCAGCCGCGGUAAUACGGAGGAUCCGAGCGUUAUCCGGAAUUAUUGGGUUUAAAGGGUGCGUAGGCGGCCAUUUAAGUCAGCGGUGAAAUUUUGCAGCUUAACUGUAACAGUGCCGUUGAUACUGUUUGGCUAGGAUUUGGUUGUAGUGUGCGGAAUGUGUGGUGUAGCGGUGAAAUGCUUAGAUAUCAGGUAGAACACCAAUGGCGAAGGCAGCUUGCUGGGGACUUAUUGACGCUGAGGCUCGAAAGUGUGGGUAGCAAACAGGAUUAGAUACCCUGGUAGUCCACACAGUAAACGAUGCAUACUGGGCGUCCGGAUUUAAUUCGGGUGCCGCAGCUAACGCGUUAAGCAAUCCACCUGGGGAGUACGACCGCAAGGUUGAAACUCAAAGGAAUUGACGGGGGCCCGCACAAGCAGUGGAUUAUGUGGUUUAAUUCGAAGCAACGCGAAGAACCUUACCAGGUCUUGACAUCCGACUAACGAGAUAGAGAUAUGUCAGGUGCCCUUCGGGGAAAGUCGAGACAGGUGGUGCAUGGUUGUCGUCAGCUCGUGUCGUGAGAUGUUGGGUUAAGUCCCGCAACGAGCGCAACCCCUGCCAUUAGUUGCCAUCAGGUCAAGCUGGGGACUUUAAUGAGACUGCCACCGUAAGGUGCGAGGAAGGGGGGGAUGACGUCAAAUCGGCACGGCCCUUAUGUCCGGGGCGACACACGUGUUACAAUGGAUGGUACAACAGGCAGCUACUUGGCGACAAGAUGCUAAUCCCGAAAACCAUUCUCAGUUCGGAUCGAAGUCUGCAACUCGACUUCGUGAAGCUGGAUUCGCUAGUAAUCGCGCAUCAGCCACGGCGCGGUGAAUACGUUCCCGGGUCUUGUACACACCGCCCGUCAAG
Molecule: ribosomal RNA, 1399 nt
Filed under: uncultured bacterium
Lineage: Bacteria
Description: bacterial SSU rRNA
Rfam family: Bacterial small subunit ribosomal RNA
Source: RNAcentral